RNAcentral lists this non-coding RNA (27 nucleotides) under Drosophila melanogaster (fruit fly). Lineage: Eukaryota; Metazoa; Arthropoda; Insecta; Diptera; Drosophilidae. RNAcentral also lists the same sequence under 1 other name. The record is from RNAcentral.
UCAGAGGCGAUGAAGGACGUGCUAAUC